This is a long non-coding RNA of Pecten maximus, 2572 nucleotides long. RefSeq lists it as uncharacterized. The record is from RefSeq and is a predicted model, not a curated record. NCBI's taxonomy places the organism in Eukaryota, Metazoa, Mollusca, Bivalvia, Pectinida, Pectinidae. The transcript has 2 exons.
GUCUGAUCCAGACUUUGAAGAUCUUGAUGAGCCACUUAUUGAAGAUAUCAUAUUGACCGAUUUUACAGAAUUUGAUGUCUAUAAAUGCUGCGAAGUUAAAGCUUGCAGGCAAAAAAAAAAUGGUUGGUAAUCAGUGUCCUGUGUGCAAAGCAACGACUUCAAAUCUCAAGUCCUACCGCAUCGCCUUUCUUUAUUCCACAGAAAAGGCAAAAGAUAAAAAAAUUACUCUCUUCAAAUCAACUAUAGAGAAGAUACUAAAAGUUGAACUGGACCUUGAGGAACAAAAAAGCAGUCUGAUCUCUGUUGUGGUAGACAAACUACCAAUUCGUGUCCGUGCCUCCAUUUCGGCUGGAAAUAAUUUGUACAACAUCCAGUAACUGUCACAUAUGGAUGCAUUGUGAAUACAGUGCAUAUUGACGUUUGAUUUUAUUAAGCCCUGGUACGACUAAUCAAAAGCUUACUGUUUUACUGUCCGUCCGUCACGCUAUGUCAAAGUGUUUUUGGUUAAGUUUUCUUCAAAGGGCUCAAUUAAGCUCGGAUGCUAUUUCUUUCAUGAAUAUUAAGUUUGGGUAUACAAUAUGUUGCACAGUGAAGUUAAUAUACACUUUGGCACUUUCAUGUCAACAUAUUUAGUUUCAUUCUGCAUUAGGUAAACGAAUAUAUUAAAUUGGAUAAAUCAUUAAUUGAAAACAUCAAUAAAACGGUUUCCUUAAAUUACCAUAAGUUGUUAAUAGGAUGCUAAACAAUGUAAAACCAAAACCGAGCUAAACAAUGUUAAACAAAAUCCGGUAUAAGUCAAUAUUUCUUACUCGUUGACCUAGGUUGCUACUUAUACUUUGUAGUUAUAUAUUUGUUUAUUAAAAAUACCAAUACAUUUUUUAUAUCUUUUUACUGAAAAUGUUGUUCUCAACUUUGGUAUAAACAACAAUUGUACAUCUAUAUUCAGAGUGUUUUUAAUUGAAUAAUUAUCCAAUAUUAUAUAUCUUACUUUGUCGUUUUUCGAGGAUGUUUUUGUAGUUUACAGUAUUUUACGAUAUUGUACAUGUAUUUUACAAUAUUGAUUUAACGAGUCAUUAUUUGUUAAGUAUUUAGCACUUAAUAUCUAGUCAUAGCAUUAUUGUGGAAGUGUUUUUGUAUGGAGUUUUUUUUUUAAUUAAUUGAAAUUUGCUGUUUACUGUAGUUAGCGGAUAUAACGAAAGCCAUUUAUUAAAGAAAAUCAUUUAAUAACCAUUUGUCCAGUAUUAUCAUUAUAUUUACCCUUAGCAUUUAGUAUAUUAUUGCAUCUCUGGCAUUGUUUGAUUACAACUGCAAUAAAGAAACUACCAAAGUAAUGUGAUGAAUCUCUACAUGUAUAUGUAAUCGGUAAAUAGUGUAUCACUUAGUUGCACUAUUGUGAUGAUAAAUUUGAAUAGACAAAAGAUAAGAUGAAGUGGAGUGCUUUUAGUUUACAAAGGACUACAUUGUAUACGAUAUGAUUUACUUUUCAAAUAAAUCUUUUUAAAUGUUGAAUACUUCCAUGAUACUAUUACAGUUUUGCAAUUUUUUUUUUUUUUUUACAUUUAUGGCUGCCAUGGUAACCUGUUGAAAUUUCCAUAAGUUAGGUAAAUUUGAACAUUCAGUCAAUUCAGGCUAUGUUUCACUCAGUUUUUCUUUUGGCAAGUAUAUAUAUAUAGAGCACAAUCUUGAAACUUGAUAUCAAAGGAAAUUGUAUAGGCACUGGUAAUAAUUAGGACACAUAUAGAGUUUGUUCAAGAAUGCACUCUAUCCUUUCCAAGAGAAAAACAGCGAAACAUGGCUCAAAUUGACUGAAUAUUAAAAUCUACGUAAUUGAUGCAAAAUUUGACUGGUUAUCAUAGCAACCAAAAUAACAUUGAAAUUAAAAAAAAAAAAAAAAAAAAUAUCGCGGAAAAUAUUCAAAAUUUGAAAAAGACUUUCAAUCAAAGGUUUUCAAUUUUGAUUGAUAUGGGGAACAAAAAAGGCCAAAACCAAUGUAUAACCCUUUCCCAUAUACAUGUAUAUGGAUUCCAUUGUUAACCUGGAGCUGAUGUCCAUGCUCACACUUCCAUUCCUCUUAAUGUUGAUCUAUAGUGCCAUUUUUUAUAACUAUUUGUUUUAGUUUACUUUUGUUACGUAAACAAAAUAUAGUAUAUUUUACAGUUUGUUGCAAUUCAAUUCAACUGGUUGUGUUCCUCCGUUUGGUUUUUGAUUUAUAUAUAUAUAUAUUUUUAUACUGUGUUAGUUGUAUAUUUUAUGACUUGCAUGAUUAUAAACGAAUAUAUUACAUUGGAGAAAUAAUUGAUUGAAGGCAUUAGUAAACAGGUUUAAAGAUAUGAAAAUUCCCAAAAAUUAUUGGAAAAGUUAAUAUUUCUUAUUCAUUAUUCUUUGUCAUGUACUAAUUUUUUGUUUAAAUUUAAAAAUACAAAUAACUUUAAUAUCUUCCUGAAAAUGCUGUUGUAGUAAACUUUGCAUUGGUAUGUGCAGCAAAUGUACAUCUAUAUUCCAAGUGCCUUCAGUUGAAUAAAAUUCAAUAUUGUAUUUGUUAUAUAUCAGAUAAUAAAAGUUAUUUCAACAA